GGGGAAUAUUGGACAAUGGGCGCAAGCCUGAUCCAGCCAUGCCGCGUGAGUGAUGAAGGCCCUAGGGUUGUAAAGCUCUUUCACCGGUGAAGAUAAUGACGGUAACCGGAGAAGAAGCCCCGGCUAACUUCGUGCCAGCAGCCGCGGUAAUACGAAGGGGGCUAGCGUUGUUCGGAAUUACUGGGCGUAAAGCGCACGUAGGCGGAUAUUUAAGUGAGGGGUGAAAUCCCAGGGCUCAACCCUGGAACUGCCUCUCAUACUGGGUAUCUCGAGUUCGAGAGAGGUGAGUGGAAUUGCGAGUGUAGAGGUGAAAUUCGUAGAUAUUCGCAGGAACACCAGUGGCGAAGGCGGCUCACUGGCUCGAUACUGACGCUGAGGUGCGAAAGCGUGGGGAGCAAAC
RNAcentral lists this ribosomal RNA (400 nucleotides) under uncultured bacterium. RNAcentral's name for it is "bacterial SSU rRNA". It matches the Rfam family "Bacterial small subunit ribosomal RNA", at positions 356 to 773 of the family's 1533-position model. The record is from RNAcentral.